RNAcentral lists this ribosomal RNA (621 nucleotides) under Saccharomyces x bayanus. RNAcentral describes it as "LSU rRNA". It matches the Rfam family "Eukaryotic large subunit ribosomal RNA", at positions 52 to 686 of the family's 3401-position model. Lineage: Eukaryota; Fungi; Ascomycota; Saccharomycetes; Saccharomycetales; Saccharomycetaceae. The record is from RNAcentral.
GGAGGUAAAUGAAACCAACCGGGAUCGCCUUAGUAACGGCGAGUGAAGCGGCAAAAGCUCAAAUUUGAAAUCUGGUACCUUUGGUGCCCGAGUUGUAAUUUGGAGAGGGCAACUUUGGGACCGUUCCUUGUCUAUGUUCCUUGGAACAGGACGUCAUAGAGGGUGAGAAUCCCGUGUGGCGAGGAGUGCGGUUCUAUGUAAAGUGCCUUCGAAGAGUCGAGUUGUUUGGGAAUGCAGCUCUAAGUGGGUGGUAAAUUCCAUCUAAAGCUAAAUAUUGGCGAGAGACCGAUAGCGAACAAGUACAGUGAUGGAAAGAUGAAAAGAACUUUGAAAAGAGAGUGAAAAAGUACGUGAAAUUGUUGAAAGGGAAGGGCAUUUGAUCAGACAUGGUGUUUUGCGCCCUCUGCUCCUUGUGGGUGGGGGAAUCUCGCAGUUCACUGGGCCAGCAUCAGUUUUGGUGGCAGGAUAAAUCCGUAGGAAUGUAACUUGCUUCGGGAAGUAUUAUAGCCUAUGGGAAUACUGCCAGCUGGGACUGAGGACUGCGACGUAAGUCAAGGAUGCUGGCAUAAUGGUUAUAUGCCGCCCGUCUUGAAACACGGACCAAGGAGUCUAACGUCUAUG